GGGGAAUUAGCUCAGCUGGCUAGAGUACUACAAUGGCAUUGUAGGGGUCAUCGGUUCGACUCCGAUAUUCUCCA
This 74-nucleotide transfer RNA is filed under the name bacterium 336/3. It matches the Rfam family "tRNA". From Rfam's summary of the family: Transfer RNA (tRNA) molecules are approximately 80 nucleotides in length. Lineage: Bacteria; Pseudomonadati. The record is from Rfam by way of RNAcentral. RNAcentral also lists the same sequence under 1 other name.